RNAcentral lists this ribosomal RNA (412 nucleotides) under uncultured bacterium. RNAcentral describes it as "bacterial SSU rRNA". It matches the Rfam family "Bacterial small subunit ribosomal RNA", at positions 355 to 786 of the family's 1533-position model. The record is from RNAcentral.
UGGGGAAUAUUGCACAAUGGGGGAAACCCUGAUGCAGCAACGCCGCGUGAGUGAUGACGGCCUUCGGUUGUAAGCUCUGUCUUCAGGGACGAUAAUGACGGUACCUGAGGAGGAAGCCACGGCUAACUACGUGCCAGCAGCCGCGGUAAUACGUAGGUGGCGAGCGUUGUCCGGAUUUACUGGGCGUAAAGGGAGCGUAGGCGGACUUUUAAGUGAGAUGUGAAAUACUCGGGCUCAACUUGAGUGCUGCAUUUCAAACUGGAAGUCUAGAGUGCAGGAGAGGAGAAUGGAAUUCCUAGUGUAGCGGUGAAAUGCGUAGAGAUUAGGAAGAACACCAGUGGCGAAGGCGAUUCUCUGGACUGUAACUGACGCUGAGGCUCGAAAGCGUGGGGAGCAAACAGGAUUAGAUACC